AAGCAAAGAAGCACGUUUAUCUUGAACUUUCACUUUGGCUGAUUGUUAGGGAGUCCAAUUGGGCUUGUGCAUGCUUGAAUAUGGAUGAAUGGUCGGUAGCAUUAUGCAUGUAAAGUUGGGCUGAAUGUGAGCUUUGCAUGGUUACAUGCAUGGCUUUCAUGAAAAUGAGUGUUGAGCUUGAAAAACCUAAAGCCAUGAAAAUAACAUGAAAAACACUAAAAAUUAUCCAAAAAUUUAAAUUUUUGCACCAUUUUGACUUAUAAAAUCUCUAUAUAUUUU
This 279-nucleotide long non-coding RNA is filed under the name Durio zibethinus. Its description in RNAcentral is "long non-coding RNA (DZIB_LNC001045)". Lineage: Eukaryota; Viridiplantae; Streptophyta; Magnoliopsida; Malvales; Malvaceae. The record is from RNAcentral.